This 822-nucleotide ribosomal RNA is filed under the name Klebsiella pneumoniae. RNAcentral describes it as "partial 23S ribosomal RNA". It matches the Rfam family "Bacterial large subunit ribosomal RNA", at positions 1 to 867 of the family's 2925-position model. RNAcentral also lists the same sequence under 1 other name. The record is from RNAcentral. Lineage: Bacteria; Pseudomonadati; Pseudomonadota; Gammaproteobacteria; Enterobacterales; Enterobacteriaceae.
GGUUAAGCGACUAAGCGUACACGGUGGAUGCCCUGGCAGUCAGAGGCGAUGAAGGACGUGCUAAUCUGCGAAAAGCGUCGGUAAGGUGAUAUGAACCGUUACAGCCGGCGAUGUCCGAAUGGGGAAACCCAGUGCAAUUCGUUGCACUAUCGUUAACUGAAUACAUAGGUUAACGAGGCGAACCGGGGGAACUGAAACAUCUAAGUACCCCGAGGAAAAAAAAUCAACCGAGAUUCCCCCAGUAGCGGCGAGCGAACGGGGAGCAGCCCAGAGUCUGAAUCAGCUUGUGUGUUAGUGGAACGGUCUGGAAAGUCCGACGGUACAGGGUGAUAGUCCCGUACACCAAAAUGCACAGGCUGUGAACUCGAAGAGUAGGGCGGGACACGUGGUAUCCUGUCUGAAUAUGGGGGGACCAUCCUCCAAGGCUAAAUACUCCUGACUGACCGAUAGUGAACCAGUACCGUGAGGGAAAGGCGAAAAGAACCCCGGCGAGGGGAGUGAAAAAGAACCUGAAACCGUGUACGUACAAGCAGUGGGAGCACCUUCGGGUGUGACUGCGUACCUUUUGUAUAAUGGGUCAGCGACUUAUAUUCUGUAGCAAGGUUAACCGUAUAGGGGAGCCGCAGGGAAACCGAGUCUUAACUGGGCGUUAAGUUGCAGGGUAUAGACCCGAAACCCGGUGAUCUAGCCAUGGGCAGGUUGAAGGUUGGGUAACACUAACUGGAGGACCGAACCGACUAAUGUUGAAAAAUUAGCGGAUGACUUGUGGCUGGGGGUGAAAGGCCAAUCAAACCGGGAGAUAGCUGGUUCUCCCCGAAAGCU